CCGAGUUUGCAACUCCCAAACCCCUGUGAACAUACCACUUGUUGCCUCGGCGGAUCAGCCCGCUCCCGGUAAAACGGGACGGCCCGCCAGAGGACCCCUAAACUCUGUUUCUAUAUGUAACUUCUGAGUAAAACCAUAAAUAAAUCA
Molecule: unclassified non-coding RNA, 147 nt
Filed under: soil metagenome
Description: partial internal transcribed spacer 1
Source: RNAcentral